AAAACAACAGAAGACAUUUAGGGAAAAUGAUCCAUGGUUUAUCAUCUCGAGAGGGGGGAGAUGAGUGUUUAUUUAGUACAUACUGUAGCAGCACUAAAACACUCCAGACUUUCCAAGGCAUGAGGAGAAGGAGUGUGAGUAUAUACAAGCUACUAGGGAUUCCUUUGGUCGUAUAUUAUAUGCCCAUGGCAUUUUUUUGCCCAUUUUAUUGUCCGCCAGCUGUAAAUCGUCCAAUUGGUAAAAAAAAAAGUAAAAGCACACUUUUAUUAAACAAUUCACAUGAUUUUAGAUGUCAUUUAGCACAGACAAGCCCCAGAGUUUAAUAUUUAAAGGGAUAGUUCACCCAAAAAUGCAUCUUCUGUUAUCAUUUACUCACCCUCAUGUUGUUCCAAACCUGUGCGACACAAAAGAAGAUUUUGGAAAGAAUGAUUAAGCUGUCCUAGGGUUUUGGACCGCAUUGACUUUCAAUGUAUGGACAAGAAAAACAUCAAGAAAGAAAUGCAUACAGGUUUGGAAUAACAUGAGUGUGAGUAAAUUAUGACAAGUUUCUUUUUGGGUAAACUAUUCCUUUAGGGUUUUAAGGGGUUAAAAGGGGCGAUAGUCUUGAAGGGCAGCAAAAUUAAUUUGAUUUAUUGAAAUAUAUUUAUAUAUUUAUUUACAAAUAGAAAUUUUCAGCAAAAAAUUCAUAGUUCUCAUUAAAUUAUUUUUAUUGUAAUAGAGUUAAAAUUAUAUUUUAAUAUAUAAAUAUAUAAAAUAUUUAAUAUUAUAUUAUAAUAAUAAUUAUUUAUUUUAAUAUUAAUAAUAUUAUUUUAAUAGUAUUAAAAAUUAUGAAUACAUUUAUUAAUGUUGUUGUUGUUGAUUAUUAUUAUUAUUUUCCCUUUUUGGAGCUUUUCAGUCCAUGGUCAAUAUUUGAUUUUGUAUUAUGGAAAAUAUCAUCAUGAGCUAAACAUCAGAAGAAAAAGUCAUACAGGUUUGUAAGGAAAUGUGGGUGAAUAUGAUGACUUAAAUUAAGUAAUAUUUACUAAAUAAAAAUAUUUUAAAUAGUAGCAUUUUUAGUAGUAGUAAUAAUAAUAAAAAAUAUUAUUAUUAUUAUUUUAUAGUCAUAUUGAUAUAAUCAUAAAAUUUUUGGCCAAAUUGUGCAGCCCUAAACAAACACAGCAAACCUGAAGCUUUUUUUUUUACUCACAUUUUAAAUCACAAUUGCAUUUUUUGCAUCAGAAUUUUUUUUGAUUAUUUUCCUAAAUCAUGCAGCUCUCAGUAGUAUUAAUUCAAUUGCACAGCUUCAGAUGUUUACUAUGGAAGUUGAAAAAAGCUUUAACAAGUUUGGAUGCUGUGUAGGCGCAACAUUUAAACUCAUUAAAUGUUUAUAGUGAACAAUAAAAUGAGGAGAAACUCUGAGAAAGAGCGGCCAAAUGGAGAUAAGUGUGAAAACGAGUGAGGAAAUUAGCCAUUUGAGAAAGGAUGUAGGCUGGAACGGUAGAUUCUAAAAAUAAGGAUAAGAAAACAGUAGUAUUUAUUAGGAAAAGGAAGAACUGGGGGCUUCACAAUAUUUCAAGAGAUGGAACAUUUGAUUUUGCCAUUACAGGAAUUUCCUGGCAGAGAAGCCCUCUAACCUGGAGCAGCACGAUAAACAUAAACAGAUGGGGGAAGGAACGGCCCUGCUACUGGAUGUUACAACCGGGAGGCGGAUGGACGGGUGUGCAUGGAGAAAAAGGGGGGAGAUACACUUCCAGAGGCACCUAAUAAAAGACACACACACGCAAGGCAGGUUGAAAUCCAAUAAACGCAGCGACGAUAAUCAGAAGCACUCGGUACAAGGAGCCCGUGAGGCCCGCAUUCGCUAAUGAGGACCAGACAGAAGACGUAAAUGAUCACCUUCCAUGCAAAAACUAAAAAUACUAUGGGAACGCAGAGGGGUUUCCCAUCCUCUAUUUGUGAAGAGCUGCCUUCCUGACUCUAAAUGUGAGUUUUCAAGUACCUGCGUCACUUUAACUUCCCUCUUUGUGGUCUGAAUGACCUGACUUCCACUCCUUUUCAUGCUCAAGGUUUGUCACGACUCACGAGGGUUUGUUUGUGCACAUUUUAUGGCUUCCCAUAUGGGCCCCAUGUGUUGGUAUGUGUCUUUGCCUGUAAAGGGCCGGCAAUCUGUUUGUUUACCACCAUGUACAUGUGAUUACAUGUUCUGUAUCAGUGGGCAAUCAUGGGAAUUAGAAGUAAUGGAAAGCUGUUUUUCCAUGCCUAUAGGUUUCAGGAAAAAAGCAGCCGUUUCAUCACAAUUUCAGCACUCAGAGUUUCCCAAUUUUAUAGCGCCAACACCCACUUUACAACUUUUCCAUGCAGCGCUCCCACACUGCGUCUCCCUGCCAGCUUAGUGCUGCAUCUCAAGAAAUCAAUCCAUCGCAACGUUCGUGAGACUGUGAACGAGGGUCCCUGAUGUAUUUACGGCAUUCCAAAAAGCUUGGAAAGAAAUCCUCAGUGGAAGAGGAAUUUCCAAAAAAAAAAAUGCUAUUAUAUCCAUGGACAAAUACAAUGAGGCCCUUGUGUCCUCAUCUGGUGUCCGCUAAAGGUUCCUUUAUUUAGAGCGUUUUUGUGCAAGAGCUGAUCGUUUUGAAUGGAAACCACAUAAUGUCUGGGGUUAAAGCUAGUAAAGCGCCCGUGAUCUUUUUCAUUCAGCUCAGACUUAGUCAUCAGUGUUGUGAGUAAGCAUGGAUAAAGGCCACUGGGCGGACUUACUGACUUAAUGUCAAUGGGUGACAGCUUAUUUUCCCAUGGGAAGAAGCAGAAGCAGAGGUUGCAUGCAUUGAAGUCAAAACAGAGCCUUGAUUCAGAGGGGUGUUUAUAAUUGCACGCACAUCAACAAGGAGUUAGGAUGUUAGCUUAAUGAUGUUUACUGGUAUACUGUAUUUCAUUUUAUAAUGCCCCCUUUACAAGAUGUAAUAUAAGUCUCUGGUGUCCCCAGAAUGUGUCUGUGAAGUUUUAGCUCAAAAUACCCCACAGAUCAUUUAUUAUAGCUUGUCAAAUUUGCCCCUAUUUGGGUGUGAGUAAAAACACACCAUUUUUGUGUGUGUCCUUUUAAAUGCUAAUGAGCUGCUGCUCCCGGCCUCCUUUCCAGAAGAGGGCGGAGCUUUAACAGCUCGUGCUUCGGUUGUAGGUAGCGGGAAGUUCAGAUCAUUUUACUGACUCGGAUCUUUUCAACUCUCGUGUCUUCAUGUUCGGGUUGAUCUGGGCUGUGAUGCAAUGCAUGCAGUACCGGAAACAAAAAUGAUUAGUUCGCCUCUUGAGCCUUUGGGUUCGAAUCGUUCGUUCAUCAGGUCACAGCCCCAUAGGCUGAAUGCAGAAACAGAAAUGAUUAGUUCAUCUCUCGAGUCUUCAGGACUGAGUCCUUCGUUCUUUUGUCACGCGACCGCUUCCCAGCUCAGUGUCUCGCAACAAAUAUAACAUUACAUUUGUAUUGACUGUAUGUUGUAUUAUAUUUAGGAAUGAUCAUAAUUAUCAAAAGAUAUGUGCAAUAAACAUUAAUGUUAUGCCACUAUAUCCCUUCUGACCAAUCUUUUUAUACAAAUAUUAGACCAAUAUGUCUUCAUGGGAAAAUCAAUUAUUAUACUAGCUAAAAAACAAAAAACUAAACAAAAAAAAAAACUACGCACUUGUAUAAGGUAGGUUGUGAAUGAACUAAUUUCUGUAUCCAAUACGGCUGUCAUGUCACGUGGGAAAAAAAACGAAGGACUCAGACCCAAAGACUUGAGAGAUGAACUAAUCAUUUCUGUUUCUGCAUUCAGCCUAUGGGGCUGGGAUUUGAUGAACGAACGGCUCGAACCCGAAAGACUCGAGAGGUGAACUAAUGUUUUCUGUUUUGUUUAAUUUCUAUGGAAUGUUGCAUAUGCGCGGUCAACCCAAAAUGAACGAAUCGCUCUCUGAGACAACUCGCUGUUCCCGAGUCAUAUUAAAGAUUCAUUCAAAAUGAACGAAUCGUUCAUGAGCGAUUGUUCAACAACAACAAAGCUGGAGAAUCUCACGCAGCCAAAAUGAGGAUUGUCAGUAACGGUGUUCAGCCUUACAUUGUUCAAACCGGAGUCGACACUGAUGGAGAGACUCAGGAGGAAGUUAACACUUUUAGAAUGAAACUGGACGUUUCUGAACGGUUAGUGGAUAAAUUUAUGUAGUUGCUGUGGAGUUGAUUCAACUCAUCGACUAGCAUGUGCCGUCAUGUUAAUCUUUUGUGCAAAUCCAGCGUUGAAUUGACCCUCGUUUGUGAAGCAGUCUGGUGUAAAAUGGCGGCAUGGUAACAACACUCUACUACAGCAACUCUUCCUCUUCUCUAAAGCAGCCCAACAUGGCCUCACCCCCUUUGUUGCAUGUUCUCAGGGGCGGGGUUUAUGUACAUUUUAGGAUUAGUGAUGUCACCAACCCGGGAAGAAGCUCGUUGUAGUCCCUACCAGCCAUUUGUUGUAGUCCAUAAAAAGCGAUUUCUGUAAAAGGAAAUAUCCAAAGACUAUAGAAUAACACAAAACGCGUCACUCGUAUUAUUUUGAAUGGGAGAACGCGCAAUAUGGCGUAAUAAGUCCCGCCUUCUAAAUAAGAGGCAAUCUCAGAUUGGUAAAGUCAUCGCGUCACUGCAGCGGCCGUUAGAAGCUCCGGUUCGAAACAAUCAGACGUGCGCCUCCGAAAUGAGACACAAGAGACGCGCAUAUAGGUCUGCACAUGCGCAUUAGCUUGAUACAGCCUGAAAAAUACCGUUUUUUGUCAUGAUUCGAACAUUUAGAAACAAAAUUUAUGAGACAGUUGUUGUCAGAUUUCAUUGGUGAUUUCAAAUAUGAAAUUUAAUCGAAAGCUUGGCAAACAGUUUUAGAGAAUUUGAUGUUUCCCCAUUCAAAGAGAUAGAAGCUGCACUUGAAUGCCCGAGAAGCGUUUUAAAGAUGGCU
This is a long non-coding RNA of Ctenopharyngodon idella (grass carp), 4922 nucleotides long. RefSeq lists it as uncharacterized. The transcript has 3 exons. The record is from RefSeq and is a predicted model, not a curated record. Lineage: Eukaryota; Metazoa; Chordata; Actinopteri; Cypriniformes; Xenocyprididae.